GUUGUUGAUGUGACCGCGUGUCCACAAACCUGGGAUUCCCUCGCCCUCAGAUUCCAGAAUCCAAUUUCUUGGAUUUCAGUGUUUUUAAGGUGGGAGGUCUCGCUGUGCUUCUCAGGCUGGACUCAAAUUCCUGGGCUCAAGUGACUCCCCCGCCUCAGCCUCCUGAGUAGCUGGGACUACAGAGAUGGCAUGUCAGUCUGGUGGUCUAGCCAGAGGAGGACUCCUGGAGCUGGUGAACUGUGCAUGGAUAUGCAGUCAUGGGCAGCCCACCUCCUACUCCUCACCCCCCAGUGCCUGCAAGGGUCUGGUCUUGCUUUAUUGCCCAGGCUGGAGUACAGUGGCACAAUCAUGGCUCACUGCAGCCUCAACCUCUUGGGCCCAAGCAAUCUUCCCACCUUGGUCUCCUAAAGUGCUAGGAUAACAGGCAUGAGCCACCACACCUGGCUGAGGCCCUACAUUUUCAUUUUGUGCUGAGACUUAUAAAUUAGGUAGCUGGUCCUGGCUAUAGCAGAGCGUAUAGAUUCUUUUUCUGGCUCUGUUUUUGUGACAUCUCAACUUACUGGGCUCUUAUUAAAGGUGAUUUAGGUGACUUAUCAACUUUUCAUGAGUACAGAUGAAGAAUUCUUCUAGGGCAGGGGUCCCCAUCCCUUGGGCCACAGACCAGUACUGGCCUGUUAGGAACCAGGCCGCACAGCAGGAGGUGAGUGGCAGGCAAGCAAAUCAAGGUUCAUCUGUAUUUACAGCCACUCCCCAUCGCUGGCAUUAUUGCCUGAGCUUGGCUUCCUGUCAGAUCAGUGGCGACCUUGAUUGUCAUAGGAGCAUGAACCCUCUAGUGAACUGCGCAUGGGAGAGAUCUAGGUUGCACGCUUCUUGUGAGAAUCUAAUGCUUGAUGAUCUGUCACUGUCUCCCAUCACUCCCAGAUGGGAUCGCCUAGUUGCAACAAAACAAGUUCAGGGCUCUCACUGAUUUUACCUUAUGGUAGGUUGUAUAAUUAUUUCAUUAUAUAUUACAAUGUAAUAAUAAUAGAAAUAAA
This 1034-nucleotide long non-coding RNA is filed under the name Pongo abelii (Sumatran orangutan). Its description in RNAcentral is "lincRNA". The record is from RNAcentral. Lineage: Eukaryota; Metazoa; Chordata; Mammalia; Primates; Hominidae.